GACGAACGCUGGCGGCGUGCCUAAUACAUGCAAGUAGAACGCACAGUUUAUACCGUAGCUUGCUACACCAUAAACUGUGAGUUGCGAACGGGUGAGUAACGCGUAGGUAACCUGCCUGGUAGCGGGGGAUAACUAUUGGAAACGAUAGCUAAUACCGCAUAAUAUUGAUUAUUGCAUGAUAAUUGAUUGAAAGAUGCUAUUGCAUCACUACCAGAUGGACCUGCGUUGUAUUAGCUAGUAGGUGAGGUAACGGCUCACCUAGGCGACGAUACAUAGCCGACCUGAGAGGGUGAUCGGCCACACUGGGACUGAGACACGGCCCAGACUCCUACGGGAGGCAGCAGUAGGGAAUCUUCGGCAAUGGACGAAAGUCUGUCCGAGCAACGCCGCGUGAGUGAAGAAGGUUUUCGGAUCGUAAAGCUCUGUUGUAAGAGAAGAACGGGUGUGAGAGUGGAAAGUUCACACUGUGACGGUAUCUUACCAGAAAGGGACGGCUAACUACGUG
Molecule: ribosomal RNA, 505 nt
Filed under: uncultured bacterium
Lineage: Bacteria
Description: partial 16S ribosomal RNA
Rfam family: Bacterial small subunit ribosomal RNA
Source: RNAcentral